Molecule: ribosomal RNA, 148 nt
Filed under: Gigaspora sp. vagiga1
Lineage: Eukaryota; Fungi; Glomeromycota; Glomeromycetes; Diversisporales; Gigasporaceae
Description: small subunit ribosomal RNA
Rfam family: Eukaryotic small subunit ribosomal RNA
Source: RNAcentral
UGAAACUGCGAACGGCUCAGUAAAUCAGUUAUAGUUUAUUUGAUAGUACAUUAUUACUACUUGGAUAACCGUGGAAAUUCUGGAGCUAAUACAUGCUAAAAAUCCCGACUUCUGGAAGGGAUGUAUUUAUUAGAUAAAAAACCAAUGC